UUAAGCGACUAAGCGUACACGGUGGAUGCCCUGGCAGUCAGAGGCGAUGAAGGACGUGCUAAUCUGCGAUAAGCGUCGGUGAGGUGAUAUGAACCGUUAUAACCGGCGAUUUCCGAAUGGGGAAACCCAGUGUGUUUCGACACACUAUCAUUAACUGAAUCCAUAGGUUAAUGAGGCGAACCGGGGGAACUGAAACAUCUAAGUACCCCGAGGAAAAGAAAUCAACCGAGAUUCCCCCAGUAGCGGCGAGCGAACGGGGAGGAGCCCAGAGCCUGAAUCAGUGUGUGUGUUAGUGGAAGCGUCUGGAAAGGCGCGCGAUACAGGGUGACAGCCCCGUACACAAAAAUGCACAUACUGUGAGCUCGAUGAGUAGGGCGGGACACGUGGUAUCCUGUCUGAAUAUGGGGGGACCAUCCUCCAAGGCUAAAUACUCCUGACUGACCGAUAGUGAACCAGUACCGUGAGGGAAAGGCGAAAAGAACCCCGGCGAGGGGAGUGAAAAAGAACCUGAAACCGUGUACGUACAAGCAGUGGGAGCCUCUUAAUGGGGUGACUGCGUACCUUUUGUAUAAUGGGUCAGCGACUUAUAUUCUGUAGCAAGGUUAACCGAAUAGGGGAGCCGAAGGGAAACCGAGUCUUAACUGGGCGUUAAGUUGCAGGGUAUAGACCCGAAACCCGGUGAUCUAGCCAUGGGCAGGUUGAAGGUUGGGUAACACUAACUGGAGGACCGAACCGACUAAUGUUGAAAAAUUAGCGGAUGACUUGUGGCUGGGGGUGAAAGGCCAAUCAAACCGGGAGAUAGCUGGUUCUCCCCGAAAGCUAUUUAGGUAGCGCCUCGUGAAUUCAUCUCCGGGGGUAGAGCACUGUUUCGGCAAGGGGGUCAUCCCGACUUACCAACCCGAUGCAAACUGCGAAUACCGGAGAAUGUUAUCACGGGAGACACACGGCGGGUGCUAACGUCCGUCGUGAAGAGGGAAACAACCCAGACCGCCAGCUAAGGUCCCAAAGUCAUGGUUAAGUGGGAAACGAUGUGGGAAGGCCCAGACAGCCAGGAUGUUGGCUUAGAAGCAGCCAUCAUUUAAAGAAAGCGUAAUAGCUCACUGGUCGAGUCGGCCUGCGCGGAAGAUGUAACGGGGCUAAACCAUGCACCGAAGCUGCGGCAGCGACGCUUAUGCGUUGUUGGGUAGGGGAGCGUUCUGUAAGCCUGUGAAGGUGGCCUGUGAGGGUUGCUGGAGGUAUCAGAAGUGCGAAUGCUGACAUAAGUAACGAUAAAGCGGGUGAAAAGCCCGCUCGCCGGAAGACCAAGGGUUCCUGUCCAACGUUAAUCGGGGCAGGGUGAGUCGACCCCUAAGGCGAGGCCGAAAGGCGUAGUCGAUGGGAAACAGGUUAAUAUUCCUGUACUUGGUGUUACUGCGAAGGGGGGACGGAGAAGGCUAUGUUGGCCGGGCGACGGUUGUCCCGGUUUAAGCGUGUAGGCUGGUUUUCCAGGCAAAUCCGGAAAACCAAGGCUGAGGCGUGAUGACGAGGCACUACGGUGCUGAAGCAACAAAUGCCCUGCUUCCAGGAAAAGCCUCUAAGCAUCAGGUAACAUCAAAUCGUACCCCAAACCGACACAGGUGGUCAGGUAGAGAAUACCAAGGCGCUUGAGAGAACUCGGGUGAAGGAACUAGGCAAAAUGGUGCCGUAACUUCGGGAGAAGGCACGCUGAUAUGUAGGUGAAGCGACUUGCUCGUGGAGCUGAAAUCAGUCGAAGAUACCAGCUGGCUGCAACUGUUUAUUAAAAACACAGCACUGUGCAAACACGAAAGUGGACGUAUACGGUGUGACGCCUGCCCGGUGCCGGAAGGUUAAUUGAUGGGGUUAGCGGUAACGCGAAGCUCUUGAUCGAAGCCCCGGUAAACGGCGGCCGUAACUAUAACGGUCCUAAGGUAGCGAAAUUCCUUGUCGGGUAAGUUCCGACCUGCACGAAUGGCGUAAUGAUGGCCAGGCUGUCUCCACCCGAGACUCAGUGAAAUUGAACUCGCUGUGAAGAUGCAGUGUACCCGCGGCAAGACGGAAAGACCCCGUGAACCUUUACUAUAGCUUGACACUGAACAUUGAGCCUUGAUGUGUAGGAUAGGUGGGAGGCUUUGAAGUGUGGACGCCAGUCUGCAUGGAGCCGACCUUGAAAUACCACCCUUUAAUGUUUGAUGUUCUAACGUUGGCCCCUAAUCGGGGUUGCGGACAGUGUCUGGUGGGUAGUUUGACUGGGGCGGUCUCCUCCUAAAGAGUAACGGAGGAGCACGAAGGUUGGCUAAUCCUGGUCGGACAUCAGGAGGUUAGUGCAAUGGCAUAAGCCAGCUUGACUGCGAGCGUGACGGCGCGAGCAGGUGCGAAAGCAGGUCAUAGUGAUCCGGUGGUUCUGAAUGGAAGGGCCAUCGCUCAACGGAUAAAAGGUACUCCGGGGAUAACAGGCUGAUACCGCCCAAGAGUUCAUAUCGACGGCGGUGUUUGGCACCUCGAUGUCGGCUCAUCACAUCCUGGGGCUGAAGUAGGUCCCAAGGGUAUGGCUGUUCGCCAUUUAAAGUGGUACGCGAGCUGGGUUUAGAACGUCGUGAGACAGUUCGGUCCCUAUCUGCCGUGGGCGCUGGAGAACUGAGGGGGGCUGCUCCUAGUACGAGAGGACCGGAGUGGACGCAUCACUGGUGUUCGGGUUGUCAUGCCAAUGGCACUGCCCGGUAGCUAAAUGCGGAAGAGAUAAGUGCUGAAAGCAUCUAAGCACGAAACUUGCCCCGAGAUGAGUUCUCCCUGACUCCUUGAGAGUCCUGAAGGAACGUUGAAGACGACGACGUUGAUAGGCCGGGUGUGUAAGCGCAGCGAUGCGUUGAGCUAACCGGUACUAAUGAACCGUGAGGCUUAACCUU
This 2903-nucleotide ribosomal RNA is filed under the name Escherichia coli UMEA 3108-1. RNAcentral's name for it is "bacterial LSU rRNA". It matches the Rfam family "Bacterial large subunit ribosomal RNA". The record is from RNAcentral. Lineage: Bacteria; Pseudomonadati; Pseudomonadota; Gammaproteobacteria; Enterobacterales; Enterobacteriaceae.